This 444-nucleotide ribosomal RNA is filed under the name Pseudopediastrum brevicorne. RNAcentral describes it as "eukaryotic LSU rRNA". The stretch from base 2 to 155 matches the Rfam family "5.8S ribosomal RNA". Lineage: Eukaryota; Viridiplantae; Chlorophyta; Chlorophyceae; Sphaeropleales; Hydrodictyaceae. The record is from RNAcentral.
CAACUCUCAACAACGGAUAUCUUGGCUCUCGCAACGAUGAAGAACGCAGCGAAAUGCGAUACGUAGUGUGAAUUGCAGAAUUCCGUGAACCAUCGAAUCUUUGAACGCAUAUUGCGCUCGCGGCUUCGGCCAAGAGCAUGUCUGCCUCAGCGUCGUUUUGACCCCUCACUCCCAUACCUUUUUGGUAUCAUGCAUCAGGCUACGGCUUGAUGCUGGGUGUGGAUCUGGCUUCCCCAGGGCUUGCUCUGGGUUGGCUGAAGUGCAGAGGCUAGAGCACGGACCCAUAUGGGCGUCAACUGGAUAGGUAGCCCCCACGAAAGUGGAUCUACACGAAGUUGUCUGCCUGGGAAACGUGUUGGCGGCCAAACAGGAAACUUCUCUCACUUCGACCUGAGCUCAGGCAAGAUUACCCGCUGAACUUAAGCAUAUCAAUAAGCGGUGGAA